This 497-nucleotide ribosomal RNA is filed under the name uncultured bacterium. RNAcentral describes it as "partial 16S ribosomal RNA". It matches the Rfam family "Bacterial small subunit ribosomal RNA", at positions 28 to 507 of the family's 1533-position model. The record is from RNAcentral.
GAUGAACGCUGGCGGCGUGCCUAAUACAUGCAAGUCGAGCGAACAGAUGAGGAGCUUGCUCCUCUGACGUUAGCGGCGGACGGGUGAGUAACACGUGGAUAACCUACCUAUAAGACUGGGAUAACUUCGGGAAACCGGAGCUAAUACCGGAUAAUAUAUUGAACCGCAUGGUUCAAUAGUGAAAGACGGUUUUGCUGUCACUUAUAGAUGGAUCCGCGCCGCAUUAGCUAGUUGGUAAGGUAACGGCUUACCAAGGCAACGAUGCGUAGCCGACCUGAGAGGGUGAUCCGCCACACUGGAACUGGGGCACGGUCCAGACUCCUACGGGAGGCAGCAGUAGGGAAUCUUCCGCAAUGGGCGAAAGCCUGACGGAGCAACGCCGCGUGAGUGAUGAAGGUCUUCGGAUCGUAAAACUCUGUUAUUAGGGAAGAACAAAUGUGUAAGUAACUAUGCACGUCUUGACGGUACCUAAUCAGAAAGCCACGGCUAACUACGUG